This 600-nucleotide ribosomal RNA is filed under the name Marinobacter segnicrescens. RNAcentral's name for it is "bacterial SSU rRNA". It matches the Rfam family "Bacterial small subunit ribosomal RNA", at positions 33 to 628 of the family's 1533-position model. Lineage: Bacteria; Pseudomonadati; Pseudomonadota; Gammaproteobacteria; Pseudomonadales; Marinobacteraceae. The record is from RNAcentral.
GCGCAAGCUAGCAGUACUCAUGCAGUCGAGCGGUAACAGGGGGUGCUUGCACCCCGCUGACGAGCGGCGGACGGGUGAGUAAUGCAUAGGAAACUGCCCAGUAGUGGGGGAUAGCCCGGGGAAACCCGGAUUAAUACCGCGUACGCCCUUCGGGGGAAAGCAGGGGAUCUUCGGACCUUGCGCUAUUGGAUGUGCCUAUGUCGGAUUAGCUAGUUGGUGGGGUAAAGGCCUACCAAGGCGACGAUCCGUAGCUGGUCUGAGAGGAUGAUCAGCCACAUCGGGACUGAGACACGGCCCGAACUCCUACGGGAGGCAGCAGUGGGGAAUAUUGGACAAUGGGGGCAACCCUGAUCCAGCCAUGCCGCGUGUGUGAAGAAGGCUUUCGGGUUGUAAAGCACUUUCAGUGAGGAGGAAAACUCUGCGACUAAUACUCGUAGGGCUUGACGUUACUCACAGAAGAAGCACCGGCUAACUCCGUGCCAGCAGCCGCGGUAAUACGGAGGGUGCAAGCGUUAAUCGGAAUUACUGGGCGUAAAGCGCGCGUAGGUGGUUUGAUAAGCGAGAUGUGAAAGCCCCGGGCUUAACCUGGGAACGGCAUUU